Molecule: long non-coding RNA, 1184 nt
Filed under: Equus asinus (donkey)
Lineage: Eukaryota; Metazoa; Chordata; Mammalia; Perissodactyla; Equidae
Description: lncRNA (ENSEASG00005033225.1)
Source: RNAcentral
ACAGUCAGACGUUUUGUAAAUGUCGGAGCUGGACCAUGAGAGAGUCCUGGACUGAUGGCUCCAUCACACGAUCACUUAGCCACAGUCUGGAGUUGUUAUGCGCAGCACCUCGGCUUGCUUUCCCUAAGCACACCUCAAAUUGAAAGGGAGGUAAAGCCUCAUCAGUGAAACAGGCAAAUGCUGGGGUAGUGAGUCAUCUCCAGCUCUGAGAAGGGGAAAUGCCUAGAGCAAGGGCUACAGCCUUCACAGCCCCACCAGUUCCCAGUUCCAAUAUUGUUUCCUGGAAUGAACUUUUACAACCAGGAAGAAGCUAUUUAAAACCUUCAUUACGAAACUUUAGCAUCUCACCAUGAAGGAUAUUUAAAAGCAAAAUGACCUGAAGCAGGUGUGAGUAAUCUGUGGCUAGAACAGAGCUCUGCUCCAGGCACAAGCACUGCUGUAGGUAAAGUGCUGAAGAAGAGGAAGACUACAGGCUAUUUAUCCAUGGUGGCAGCACAGCUUGGGGUAAGGCAGAGCUAAGACGACCCUCUGUCUUUGUGAAGAUGCCAGAGGAAUCCACCAAAGCCCCCUGGUACAUAGCUGUAUAUCCUUCGUUGUGGGUCCUUCUAGUUGUGGCAUGUGGGACACCGCCUCAGCGUGGUUUGAUGAGCAGUGCCAUGUCCGCACCCAGGAUUCGAACCAAUGAAACACUGGGCCACCUGCAGCGGAGCGCGCGAACUUAACCACUCGGCCACGGGGCCAGCCCCAACAGUAGUAUUUUUGAUGGUAUUGCUACGUGAAGACUCUCUCCUUUGCUGGUUUUGAUGAAGCAUGCAGCCAUUUAUGAGAGGCCAAGAAACCAAGGGCAGCCUCCAGCCAAGAACCAGCUGAGGGUGGCCCCUAGCUGACAAUCAGCAAGACGUUGAGGCCACCUGCCCUACAACACCAAGGAACUGAAUUCUACUAACAACUGCACGAAUUUGAAAGUGGGUUGUUCCCCAGUUGAACCUUGAGAUGAGACCAUCAGGCCAACCAACAAUCUCAUUGAAGUCACAUGAAAUCUGGAAGCAGAAGAUCUGACUAAACUGUGCCCACACACCUAACCACAGAAACUGUGUAUUAAUAAAUGUGUGUUGUUUUAAACCAACAUCUUUGUGGUAAUAUUGCUACCCAACAAUAAAUAACUAAUAAACAGUCCAAGAAUC